AUACGUAGGAGGCAAGCGUUGUCCGGAUUUACUGGGCGUAAAGGGCGUGUAGGCGGUUCAGGAAGUCCCUGGUGAAAUCUCCCAGCUCAACUGGGAUAGGUCUGAGGAUACUCCUGAACUUGAGGGCAGUAGAGGAGAGUGGAAUUCCCGGUGGAGUGGUGAAAUGCGUUGAUAUCGGGAGGAACACCAGAGGCGAAGGCGGCUUCCUGGACAGACACUGACGCUGAGGCGCGAAAGCUAGGGGAGCAAACGGGAGUAGAAACCCCGGUAGUCC
RNAcentral lists this ribosomal RNA (274 nucleotides) under uncultured bacterium. RNAcentral describes it as "partial 16S ribosomal RNA". It matches the Rfam family "Bacterial small subunit ribosomal RNA", at positions 523 to 796 of the family's 1533-position model. The record is from RNAcentral.